CAGGUCCAUGAGGGCAUGCAGGAGUGGUCAGGAGUGUUCAGGACCACAAGGGCAUGCAGGAGUGGUCAGGAGUGUUCAGGACCACAAGGGCAUGCAGGUAGUGGUCAGGUCCAGUCAGGUCCAUGAGGGCAUGCACGAAUGGUCAGGAGUGUUCAGGACCACAAGGGCAUGCAGGAGUGGUCAGGUCCAGUCAGGUCCAUGAGGGCAUGCAGGAGUGGUCAGGAGUGUUCAGGACCACAAGGGCAUGCAGGAG
Molecule: long non-coding RNA, 253 nt
Filed under: Salmo salar (Atlantic salmon)
Lineage: Eukaryota; Metazoa; Chordata; Actinopteri; Salmoniformes; Salmonidae
Description: lncRNA (ENSSSAG00000109746.1)
Source: RNAcentral